AUUGAACGCUGGCGGCAUGCCUUACACAUGCAAGUCGAACGGCAGCACGGGUGCUUGCACCUGGUGGCGAGUGGCGAACGGGUGAGUAAUACAUCGGAACAUGUCCUGUAGUGGGGGAUAGCCCGGCGAAAGCCGGAUUAAUACCGCAUACGAUCUACGGAUGAAAGCGGGGGACCUUCGGGCCUCGCGCUAUAGGGUUGGCCGAUGGCUGAUUAGCUAGUUGGUGGGGUAAAGGCCUACCAAGGCGACGAUCAGUAGCUGGUCUGAGAGGACGACCAGCCACACUGGGACUGAGACACGGCCCAGACUCCUACGGGAGGCAGCAGUGGGGAAUUUUGGACAAUGGGCGAAAGCCUGAUCCAGCAAUGCCGCGUGUGUGAAGAAGGCCUUCGGGUUGUAAAGCACUUUUGUCCGGAAAGAAAUCCUUGGCCCUACUACGGUCGGGGGAUGACGGUACCGGAAGAAUAAGCACCGGCUAACUACGUG
RNAcentral lists this ribosomal RNA (486 nucleotides) under uncultured bacterium. Its description in RNAcentral is "partial 16S ribosomal RNA". It matches the Rfam family "Bacterial small subunit ribosomal RNA", at positions 30 to 507 of the family's 1533-position model. The record is from RNAcentral.